GUAUCUCUUAACAAUUAAAGUCACCCUGUACUUAUCUUUCCAUCUUCAUUCAUCCUCCAAUUAAUGCUUCCAUAAAAUUCUCAAUAUUUGAAACUUGGUUGGAUUUUCCUCUUCCUGAUGUUGAUGAGGAUGAUGAAGAUUUUGAACUAUCUGAUGCACAACAAGAGUAUGCUCUGACUGUCGAAAGUUUGGCACCAAGAUUGGCUGCUCUUAGGAUUGAACUUUGCCCGGGUUAUAUCAGUGAAAGUUCUUUCUGGAAGAUAUAUUUUGUACUUUUGCAUCCGAGACUUGAACCUCAUGCUGCUGCACUUCUUUCGAGACCCGAGGUAAUAGAUCCAGAAUGCGUUGGUUAAAAUUGCCUAAAAUCAAUUAGACAUACUUGUUGUUGUUGCUUGUGCUGCUGCUUGUUGCUGUUGUUGCUCGUUGCUGUCGGAGCCAUACCGGAUAUAUCCAACCCUUACAACUUCUCUUCAGG
RNAcentral lists this long non-coding RNA (475 nucleotides) under Helianthus annuus (common sunflower). Its description in RNAcentral is "hypothetical non coding rna". Lineage: Eukaryota; Viridiplantae; Streptophyta; Magnoliopsida; Asterales; Asteraceae. The record is from RNAcentral.